CUCCGACCCCCAAACCCGGCCCGCACUCUUCAGGCGAAAAGACGGAAACGCCCCCCGCUCCACCCUGACUCGACCCCAUCCAUGGCUGGCGGCGGCGGCGGCGCGUCGCCGGCGCGGGACGGCGGGCGGGAGGAGUGGCUGCGCAUCUACGACCGGAUGGUGGCCGUCCUGCGGAAGAGCCACCGGGACGUGGAGGCGCUGCUCGCCGACCGCAAGCGCCUCGAGGCCGUCCUCAAGAUCCAGCACGACUUCUGGCUCCACCGCGACGCCGUCCUCCGGGACCGCCUCGACGAGACGCGGAGGGUGGAGGACUGCCUGCGGCGGGGCGACGCCGCCAAGCUCGACCUGCUCCUCGGCGACAAGGACCUCGAGGUGCGCCGCCACCGGAUCUACAUCGAACACCAAGAUGGUGACUUGGAGGAUUUCAAAAGAGAUGCAGCUGCUUUGGCUCAAGAAAACAAUGAAUUGAAGAUAAAACUGAAGGAAGCUGAAAGUUGUGCCGAGCUCAGCGAGCCAACUACAGACCCCGAGCACAGUGGAAGAGAUUUGAGAGCAGAGAUAAGGAAGCUAAAGAAAGCCUAUAAGGCCCUGAGCUCGCAGAAGGAGAGCGAGGUUUCCGCGUUACUCGCAGAAAAGGAUUUCGUGUGGAACCAGUACAAGACAAUGGAGAAGGACUACGAGACGCUCCUUAAGAAGAAGAAGAUGGAGGCAGCACAGGCUACUGAAGCAGCCGAGAAGCUUCAGCAGAAGGUGGAGGAGCUGCAACUGCAAGUGUCAGCCCAAAAGAAGGAUGACGAUGUUGGCAGAUUGCAAGCGGAAGCUAAUGAUGCCAAAAAGAAGGUGCUGGCUCUUGAGGAUAAGCUACAAAAAAUGCACUCCCUGGUCAGUGAGAAAGACGAUGAGAUCCAAAAACUCAAGAGUGGGCACCUUCAGGCUAGUCAAAAGCGGAAGAAGGAUAUCAGCGGGACACAUAGAAGAUCUAGGUCUGAAGGUCCAUCUGUACGGGGGAAGUCUAAAAGUAAUCCUCGGAGGCAAAUGGCAGAAGAAGAUCAACCCGAGACCAGUCAGAAGCGUCAGUGUGCCUCUUCGUUAUCAAGUGGACUGGCGCUCCGGCGCUGCUCCUCGAGGAUGACGCACCUGAAACCCGCGUCGUCGUCGUCGUCGCCUGCGCCCCAGCAGGUACUCUUCCACUCCAGUUUCAAGCUGCUGUUAGACCUCCAUGAUGGCUGUGUUUAGGUGUGUGGAGUUAGCGAUCAGGUUUAAUCUUUAUCGUGCGCCGCGCGCUCCCACUGGAGAGGCGGUGAUCGUGUUUUGUAACCUACAUCCUCGCCCUUAUUUUGAAGGCCCUUUUGUAACAUAUUCGCGGGCGCUGCGCGGAUGGAGAGCUCGCUGACCGGUGUAUGUAUGUAUGUGUGUGUGUGUGUGUGUUAACCAUGUGGUGGUGCCCUCGGGCCGGAAUUCGCGAGGUGUUUGAGAUGUGACCCGAACUCCCCUGAGUUAUGAGUGUGUGUUUCUGCGGUUGGUGUAUAAAAUGUGAAGUGGAAGUGUGAGAGGGCAUAAAUGUUCAUACUGUUGAUGAUUACAGGGGCAGAACCUUGUGUUUCUCUUUGGGAAAGCUGGUACUAGAAAUUUGAAUUUGCCCUUUGGCGAAUUUGUUUAGGGUUUUCGAUGGCCAAGUUGCGGUAUCGACAUAAAUGUGGGGAAAUUUACUUUGGAUGCCUGUGUCCUCCUGUAACCCAUUUGAGAGGAAUGUCAUACACACUUCAUGCUUUAUACACAGCAUUUCUGUUUGGGAAAAUUGGCACUUGUUGUUGUGCUUAGGCG
RNAcentral lists this ribosomal RNA (1824 nucleotides) under Triticum aestivum (bread wheat). RNAcentral describes it as "partial small subunit ribosomal RNA". Lineage: Eukaryota; Viridiplantae; Streptophyta; Magnoliopsida; Poales; Poaceae. The record is from RNAcentral.